UUUUAUGAGAGUUUGAUCCUGGCUCAGGACGAACGCUGGCGGCGUGCCUAAUACAUGCAAGUCGAACGCUUCUUUUUCCACCGGAGCUUGCUCCACCGGAAAAAGAGGAGUGGCGAACGGGUGAGUAACACGUGGGUAACCUGCCCAUCAGAAGGGGAUAACACUUGGAAACAGGUGCUAAUACCGUAUAACAAUCGAAACCGCAUGGUUUUGAUUUGAAAGGCGCUUUCGGGUGUCGCUGAUGGAUGGACCCGCGGUGCAUUAGCUAGUUGGU
Molecule: ribosomal RNA, 274 nt
Filed under: Enterococcus faecium
Lineage: Bacteria; Bacillati; Bacillota; Bacilli; Lactobacillales; Enterococcaceae
Description: partial 16S ribosomal RNA
Rfam family: Bacterial small subunit ribosomal RNA
Source: RNAcentral